Molecule: ribosomal RNA, 253 nt
Filed under: uncultured bacterium
Lineage: Bacteria
Description: partial 16S ribosomal RNA
Rfam family: Bacterial small subunit ribosomal RNA
Source: RNAcentral
UCCGUAGGGUGCAAGCGUUAAUCGGAAUUACUGGGCGUAAUGCGUGCGCAGGCGGUUUUGUAAGUCUGACGUGAAAUCCCCGGGCUCAACCUGGGAAUUGCGUUGGAGACUGCAAGGCUAGAAUCUGGCAGAGGGGGGUAGAAUUCCACGUGUAGCAGUGAAAUGCGUAGAGAUGUGGAGGAACACCGAUGGCGAAGGCAGCCCCCUGGGUCAAGAUUGACGCUCAUGCACGAAAGCGUGGGGAGCAAACAGG